GAGUCUGGUCGGAUAGAUGGUCCCUCAGGGAUUGAUUAUUAUGAACCACAUGCAGAUGAUCCACCGUCAUCCCAAAGUUGGUCCAAAUUGGUUUACAUUGCUUUGUCUGGAUCCGCAAGAUGAGCAUAAGGAGCUUCUGGACGAUAACCCACCUAAACAUGCAGACCCAUCUUGACCCAUUCCUCUCUUAGUAAUUCUGUAGCUGCACAUACUGUCAUGCUUGAAGACAUAUAUUGCACACAGCAAUAGCAGUCAAAGCAGAGCACUUGAUAGCAAAAUGAGCGAAAAAAUGAUCAAAAAUCGAAGCGUCGAAGCAAGUUGAAGGAGCCACACAAGCUACACCUUUUCAUACAAUCAGACCACACGGGUGUGUGAUAGACCAUGUCGAUUUCACAUGAUUGUGCAUUGAACAACAAAAAAUCACAAUUUUUAGGUUUUUCGGGCAUUCUAAUAUGUAUAUAUGACAAAAAUAAAAAGAUAUGAGAGGGGCGUCAAAGAAACUCAAGAAAACAACUCGAAAAAUAUCAUUGAAGUCGACUUUGAAGCAGAUUUCCAUCAAGAUUGAAGAUUCCUAGUUGAUUUCUUAAGAAGUUAUCAUGAGUUUCUUUUAUUCUUUCGAUUAUACUGUAUAUUUGAUUUUUCUCUUUUGAAGCAUGAACUAAUUUUCUGAAUACAUAUGGGAGAUAAACCCUACAAUGAAUUAUGUUGUUUAAUUUC
Long non-coding RNA from Gossypium raimondii (Peruvian cotton), 717 nucleotides. RefSeq lists it as uncharacterized. Lineage: Eukaryota; Viridiplantae; Streptophyta; Magnoliopsida; Malvales; Malvaceae. The record is from RefSeq and is a predicted model, not a curated record. The transcript has 2 exons.